GUUUGCACUUAUCGGGGAAGGGUGAGAACCUUCGAUUAAGGUUCGACUCGGAGCGAAAGCGAGAGAACGUUGCCAACGGCAACGGCCCGUAGGGUGAGGAGCGAAGUGACAAAUAAUCCUUCCCCCACCACCA
This 133-nucleotide small RNA is filed under the name Salmonella enterica. RNAcentral's name for it is "RtT sRNA". It matches the Rfam family "RtT RNA". Rfam says of the family: This family represents a bacterial cis-regulatory element known as RtT RNA. Lineage: Bacteria; Pseudomonadati; Pseudomonadota; Gammaproteobacteria; Enterobacterales; Enterobacteriaceae. The record is from RNAcentral.